UAUUUACUAUGAUGACAUCUGUUAGGAUGGUAUCUUAAGGUGAUUACUUUUAAGUGUGUGCCUUAUGAUUAUACCAAAACUGAGUUUGGUUUCUGAGCAAAAU
Non-coding RNA from Zea mays, 103 nucleotides. The record is from Rfam. Lineage: Eukaryota; Viridiplantae; Streptophyta; Magnoliopsida; Poales; Poaceae.